AUUGAACGCUGGCGGCAUGCCUUACACAUGCAAGUCGAACGGCAGCACGGGAGCAAUCCUGGUGGCGAGUGGCGAACGGGUGAGUAAAGUAUCGGAACGUGCCCAGUCGUGGGGGAUAACGUAGCGAAAGUUACGCUAAUACCGCAUACGAUCUAUGGAUGAAAGCGGGGGAUCGCAAGACCUCGCGCGAUUGGAGCGGCCGAUAUCAGAUUAGGUAGUUGGUGGGGUAAAGGCUCACCAAGCCGACGAUCUGUAGCUGGUCUGAGAGGACGACCAGCCACACUGGGACUGAGACACGGCCCAGACUCCUACGGGAGGCAGCAGUGGGGAAUUUUGGACAAUGGGCGAAAGCCUGACCCAGCCAUGCCGCGUGCAGGAUGAAGGCCUUCGGGUUGUAAACUGCUUUUGUACGGAACGAAAAGGUUUGGCCUAAUAAGCUGAGCUCAUGACGGUACCGUAAGAAUAAGCACCGGCUAACUACGUGCCAGCCGCCGCAGUAU
Molecule: ribosomal RNA, 500 nt
Filed under: uncultured bacterium
Lineage: Bacteria
Description: partial 16S ribosomal RNA
Rfam family: Bacterial small subunit ribosomal RNA
Source: RNAcentral